UGCAGUCGAGCGGAUGAGAGGAGCUUGCUCCUGGAUUCAGCGGCGGACGGGUGAGUAAUGCCUAGGAAUCUGCCUGGUAGUGGGGGACAACGUUUCGAAAGGAACGCUAAUACCGCAUACGUCCUACGGGAGAAAGCAGGGGACCUUCGGGCCUUGCGCUAUCAGAUGAGCCUAGGUCGGAUUAGCUAGUUGGUGAGGUAAUGGCUCACCAAGGCGACGAUCCGUAACUGGUCUGAGAGGAUGAUCAGUCACACUGGAACUGAGACACGGUCCAGACUCCUACGGGAGGCAGCAGUGGGGAAUAUUGGACAAUGGGCGAAAGCCUGAUCCAGCCAUGCCGCGUGUGUGAAGAAGGUCUUCGGAUUGUAAAGCACUUUAAGUUGGGAGGAAGGGUUGUAGAUUAAUACUCUGCAAUUUUGACGUUACCGACAGAAUAAGCACCGGCUAACUCUGUGCCAGCAGCCGCGGUAAUACAGAGGGUGCAAGCGUUAAUCGGAAUUACUGGGCGUAAAGCGCGCGUA
This 521-nucleotide ribosomal RNA is filed under the name Pseudomonas sp. RNAcentral's name for it is "bacterial SSU rRNA". It matches the Rfam family "Bacterial small subunit ribosomal RNA", at positions 56 to 573 of the family's 1533-position model. Lineage: Bacteria; Pseudomonadati; Pseudomonadota; Gammaproteobacteria; Pseudomonadales; Pseudomonadaceae. The record is from RNAcentral.